RNAcentral lists this ribosomal RNA (617 nucleotides) under Camarotella costaricensis. RNAcentral's name for it is "eukaryotic LSU rRNA". It matches the Rfam family "Eukaryotic large subunit ribosomal RNA", at positions 39 to 664 of the family's 3401-position model. Lineage: Eukaryota; Fungi; Ascomycota; Sordariomycetes; Phyllachorales; Phyllachoraceae. The record is from RNAcentral.
UAUUUCAAAAAGCUGAGGAAAAAGAAACCAACAGGGAUUGCCUCAGCUAACGGCGAGUGAAGUGGCAACAGCUCAAAUUUGAAAUCUGCCCCUUAGGGCCGAGUUGUAAUUUGUAGAGGAUGCUUUAGGCACGGUGCUUUCCAAGUCCCCUGGAAUGGGGUGCCACAGAGGGUGAGAGCCCCGUAUGGUUGGACGCCGCUCCAGUGUAAAGCUCCUUCGACGAGUCGAGUAGUUUGGGAAUGCUGCUCUAAAUGGGAGGUAAAUUCCUUCUAAAGCUAAAUACUUGCCAGAGACCGAUAGCGCACAAGUAGAGUGAUCGAAAGAUGAAAAGCACUUUGAAAAGAGAGUUAAAUAGUACGUGAAAUUGUUGAAAGGGAAGCGCCUAUGACCAGACUUGUGCUGGGCCAAUCCCCUAUCGUUUUCGGUAGGGUCCUUGUCCCGGUUCAGGCCAGCGCCGGUUACCUUGGGGGGAUAAAAGCGCCGGCAACGUAGCUCUCUUGGGGAGUAUUAUAGGCCGGGAGCAGGAAUACUCCUAAAAGUGGAUCGAGGAUUGCGCUCUGCAAGGACGUUGGCAUAAUGGUUAUUGGCGACCCGUCUUGACCACCCGGGACCCAAUG